AGGACGAACGCUGGCGGCGUGCUUAACACAUGCAAGUCGAGCGGUAAGGCCUUUCGGGGUACACGAGCGGCGAACGGGUGAGUAACACGUGGGUGAUCUGCCCUGCACUUCGGGAUAAGCCUGGGAAACUGGGUCUAAUACCGGAUAUGACCUCCUAUCGCAUGGUGGGUGGUGGAAAGAUUUAUCGGUGCAGGAUGGGCCCGCGGCCUAUCAGCUUGUUGGUGGGUAAUGGCCUACCAAGGCGACGACGGGUAGCCGACCUGAGAGGGUGACCGGCACACUGGGACUGAGACACGGCCCAGACUCCUACGGGAGGCAGCAGUGGGAACAUGCACAAUGGGCGAAAGCCUGAUGCAGCGACGCCGCGUGGAGGAUGACGGCCGUUCGGGUUGUUAAACCGUC
Molecule: ribosomal RNA, 402 nt
Filed under: uncultured soil bacterium
Lineage: Bacteria
Description: bacterial SSU rRNA
Rfam family: Bacterial small subunit ribosomal RNA
Source: RNAcentral